This 780-nucleotide ribosomal RNA is filed under the name uncultured bacterium. Its description in RNAcentral is "bacterial SSU rRNA". It matches the Rfam family "Bacterial small subunit ribosomal RNA", at positions 28 to 808 of the family's 1533-position model. The record is from RNAcentral.
GAUGAACGCUGGCGGCGUGCUUAACACAUGCAAGUCGAACGAAGCACCUUGAUUUGAUUCUUCGGAUGAAGAUCUUGGUGACUGAGUGGCGGACGGGUGAGUAACGCGUGGGUAACCUGCCUCAUACAGGGGGAUAACAGUUAGAAAUGACUGCUAAUACCGCAUAAGACCACAGCACCGCAUGGUGCAGGGGUAAAAACUCCGGUGGUAUGAGAUGGACCCGCGUCUGAUUAGGUAGUUGGUGGGGUAACGGCCUACCAAGCCGACGAUCAGUAGCCGACCUGAGAGGGUGACCGGCCACAUUGGGACUGAGACACGGCCCAAACUCCUACGGGAGGCAGCAGUGGGGAAUAUUGCACAAUGGGGGAAACCCUGAUGCAGCGACGCCGCGUGAGCGAUGAAGUAUUUCGGUAUGUAAAGCUCUAUCAGCAGGGAAGAAAAUGACGGUACCUGACUAAGAAGCACCGGCUAAAUACGUGCCAGCGGCCGCGGUAAUACGUAUGGUGCAAGCGUUAUCCGGAUUUACUGGGUGUAAAGGGAGCGUAGACGGAGUGGCAAGUCUGAUGUGAAAACCCGGGGCUCAACCCCGGGACUGCAUUGGAAACUGUCAAUCUAGAGUACCGGAGAGGUAAGCGGAAUUCCUAGUGUAGCGGUGAAAUGCGUAGAUAUUAGGAGGAACACCAGUGGCGAAGGCGGCUUACUGGACGGUAACUGACGUUGAGGCUCGAAAGCGUGGGGAGCAAACAGGAUUAGAUACCCUGGUAGUCCACGCCGUAAACG